GGGGAAUUAGCUCAGAGGUAGAGCGGCGGACUGUUAAUCCGCGUGUCACUGGUUCGAUCCCAGUAUUCCCCGCCA
This 75-nucleotide transfer RNA is filed under the name Aeromonas phage phiA8-29. Its description in RNAcentral is "tRNA-Asn". It matches the Rfam family "tRNA". Rfam says of the family: Transfer RNA (tRNA) molecules are approximately 80 nucleotides in length. The record is from RNAcentral. Lineage: Duplodnaviria; Heunggongvirae; Uroviricota; Caudoviricetes; Pantevenvirales; Ackermannviridae.